Molecule: ribosomal RNA, 500 nt
Filed under: uncultured bacterium
Lineage: Bacteria
Description: partial 16S ribosomal RNA
Rfam family: Bacterial small subunit ribosomal RNA
Source: RNAcentral
AUUGAACGCUGGCGGCAUGCUUUACACAUGCAAGUCGAACGGCAGCACGGGAGCGAUCCUGGUGGCGAGUGGCGAACGGGUGAGUAAUGUAUCGGAACAUGCCCAGUCGUGGGGGAUAACGCAGCGAAAGUUGUGCUAAUACCGCAUACGAUCUAUGGAUGAAAGCGGGGGAUCGCAAGACCUCGCGCGAUUGGAGUGGCCGAUAUCAGAUUAGGUAGUUGGUGGGGUAAAGGCCCACCAAGCCGACGAUCUGUAGCUGGUCUGAGAGGACGGCCAGCCACACUGGGACUGAGACACGGCCCAGACUCCUACGGGAGGCAGCAGUGGGGAAUUUUGGACAAUGGGCGCAAGCCUGAUCCAGCAAUGCCGCGUGCAGGAUGAAGGCCUUCGGGUUGUAAACUGCUUUUGUAUGGAACGAAAAGACUCUCUCUAAUAAAGGGGGUUGAUGACGGUACCAUGAGAAUAAGCACCGGCUAACUACGUGCCAGCAGCCGCCGCUG